Molecule: microRNA, 20 nt
Filed under: Corchorus capsularis
Lineage: Eukaryota; Viridiplantae; Streptophyta; Magnoliopsida; Malvales; Malvaceae
Description: sRNA CCACVL1_18685
Source: RNAcentral
ACAAAAAAAAAAGUACAGAA